GGUGGUCUUCUCUGCACUGGGAGCAGCUCUCCUGCCACAGCCCUUCAUCUCCUGAAAAUGUACGCUUGCGCCAUGUUCGUCUCCACCCCCUCCUUGAUCAGGAGAACCUCUACACUAUUGAGCCGAUCACUAUCUGCGGUGGUGGUAAGACGACCAGAGACACUGACAGAUGAGAGCCACAGCAGCUUGGCAGUAGUCCCCCGUCCCCUGACCACCUCACUUACUCCUAGCCGCAGCUUCCAAACCAGGGCCGUUUCAAGGGACAUCGACAACAGCAGCCAAGUUCAUUGGAGCUUGGCUGUCACAGUAGGGGUGGCUGGCUCUGGAGCUGGAAUUGGGCCUGUGUUUGGGAGUCUCAUCAUUGGUUAUGUCAGGAACCCUUCUCUGAAGCAGCAGCUCUUCUACGCCAUUCUGGGCUUUGCCCUCUUGGAGGCCAUGGGGCUCUUUUGCCUGAUGGUGGCCUUUCUCAUCCUCUUCGCCAUGUGAAGGAGCCAUUUCCACCUCCCAUAGUUCUUUCUCCCGUGUCUCAUCUUCCCUGUACGUUUCUUUUCCUGUGCCUCCCCAGGCAGCCUGGGGAAAGUGGUUGGCUCAGGGCUUGACAGAAGGAAGACAAAUAAAUACUGUAUUAAUAAG
Molecule: non-coding RNA, 633 nt
Organism: Odocoileus virginianus texanus
Lineage: Eukaryota; Metazoa; Chordata; Mammalia; Artiodactyla; Cervidae
Source: RefSeq, a predicted model, not a curated record